This 305-nucleotide ribosomal RNA is filed under the name uncultured bacterium. RNAcentral describes it as "bacterial SSU rRNA". It matches the Rfam family "Bacterial small subunit ribosomal RNA", at positions 333 to 636 of the family's 1533-position model. The record is from RNAcentral.
UGUGACCUACGGGGGGCAGCAGUGAGGAAUAUUGGUCAAUGGUCGGGAGACUGAACCAGCCAAGCCGCGUGAGGGAGGAAGGUACAGAGUAUCGUAAACCUCUUUUGUCAGGGAACAAAGGCGGGGACGUGUCCCCGGAUGAGUGUACCUGAAGAAAAAGCAUCGGCUAACUCCGUGCCAGCAGCCGCGGUAAUACGGAGGAUGCGAGCGUUAUCCGGAUUUAUUGGGUUUAAAGGGUGCGCAGGCGGUCUGUUAAGUCAGCGGUGAAAGCCCGGGGGUCAACCCGGGCACGCCGGUGAAACUGG